GAUGGACUCGCGGCCUAUCAGCUUGUUGGUGGGGUAAUGGCCUACCAAGGCGACGACGGGUAGCCGGCCUGAGAGGGUGACCGGCCACACUGGGACUGAGACACGGCCCAGACUCCUACGGGAGGCAGCAGUGGGGAAUAUUGCACAAUGGGCGAAAGCCUGAUGCAGCGACGCCGCGUGAGGGAUGACGGCCUUCGGGUUGUAAACCUCUUUCAGCUCUGACGAAGCUUUUGUGACGGUAGGAGCAGAAGAAGCACCGGCUAACUACGUGCCAGCAGCCGCGGUAAUACGUAGGGUGCGAGCGUUGUCCGGAAUUAUUGGGCGUAAAGAGCUUGUAGGCGGUUUGUCGCGUCUGCUGUGAAAUCCCGGGGCUUAACUCCGGGCUUGCAGUGGGUACGGGCAGGCUAGAGUGUGGUAGGGGAGACUGGAAUUCCUGGUGUAGCGGUGAAAUGCGCAGAUAUCAGGAGGAACACCGAUGGCGAAGGCAGGUCUCUGGGCCACUACUGACGCUGAGAAGCGAAAGCGUGGGGAGCGAACAGGAUUAGAUACCCUGGUAGUCCACGCCGUAAACGUU
RNAcentral lists this ribosomal RNA (574 nucleotides) under actinobacterium PASAU17. RNAcentral's name for it is "bacterial SSU rRNA". It matches the Rfam family "Bacterial small subunit ribosomal RNA", at positions 224 to 810 of the family's 1533-position model. Lineage: Bacteria; Bacillati; Actinomycetota; Actinomycetes. The record is from RNAcentral.